GAGUUUGAUCCUGGCUCAGAUUGAACGCUGGCGGCAUGCCUUACACAUGCAAGUCGAACGGCAGCAUGAUCUAGCUUGCUAGAUUGAUGGCGAGUGGCGAACGGGUGAGUAAUACAUCGGAACGUGCCCUGUAGUGGGGAUAACUAGUCGAAAGAUUAGCUAAUACCGCAUACGACCUGAGGGUGAAAGUGGGGGACCGCAAGGCCUCAUGCUAUAGGAGCGGCCGAUGUCUGAUUAGCUAGUUGGUGGGGUAAAGGCCCACCAAGGCGACGAUCAGUAGCUGGUCUGAGAGGACGAUCAGCCACACUGGGACUGAGACACGGCCCAGACUCCUACGGGAGGCAGCAGUGGGAAUUUUGGACAAUGGGCGAAAGCCUGAUCCAGCAAUGCCGCGUGUGUGAGAA
RNAcentral lists this ribosomal RNA (404 nucleotides) under uncultured microorganism. RNAcentral's name for it is "bacterial SSU rRNA". It matches the Rfam family "Bacterial small subunit ribosomal RNA", at positions 9 to 411 of the family's 1533-position model. The record is from RNAcentral.